UAUAAUGUUUUAACUUUUCGUCUUAUUUAAAAUUUUUUAUGAUUAAUAUUUUUAUUGUUACUCGAUGAUAAAACAUAAAUAGUACUUUAUACGUGACUAAUUGUUUUAUGUUUUUUAAUAAAUUUUUCAAAUAAAAUGAAUGAUCAAACGUUAAACAUAGAAAUUGA
RNAcentral lists this microRNA precursor (167 nucleotides) under Oryza brachyantha (malo sina). RNAcentral's name for it is "MIR812 microRNA precursor family". It matches the Rfam family "MIR812 microRNA precursor family", at positions 27 to 191 of the family's 205-position model. The record is from Rfam by way of RNAcentral. Lineage: Eukaryota; Viridiplantae; Streptophyta; Magnoliopsida; Poales; Poaceae.